Molecule: ribosomal RNA, 302 nt
Filed under: Clostridium perfringens
Lineage: Bacteria; Bacillati; Bacillota; Clostridia; Eubacteriales; Clostridiaceae
Description: partial 16S ribosomal RNA
Rfam family: Bacterial small subunit ribosomal RNA
Source: RNAcentral
UUUAAAUUGAGAGUUUGAUCCUGGCUCAGGAUGAACGCUGGCGGCGUGCUUAACACAUGCAAGUCGAGCGAUGAAGUUUCCUUCGGGAAACGGAUUAGCGGCGGACGGGUGAGUAACACGUGGGUAACCUGCCUCGUAGAGUGGAAUAGCCUUCCGAAAGGAAGAUUAAUACCGCAUAAUGUUGAAAGAUGGCAUCAUCAUUCAACCAAAGGAGCAAUCCGCUAUGAGAUGGACCCGCGGCGCAUUAGCUAGUUGGUGGGGUAACGGCCUACCAAGGCGACGAUGCGUAGCCGACCUGAGAG